GGUUAAGCUAAUAAGAGCGUAUGGUGGAUGCCUUGGCACUAAGAGCCGAUGAAAGACGUGAUAAGCUGCGAUAAGCUACGGUGAGGAGCAAAUAUCCUUUGACCCGUAGAUUUCUGAAUGGGGAAACCUAAUGGAGCAAACCUCCAUUGACGUAUGGUGAAUACAUAGCCAUACGCCGGGAACCCGGGGAACUGAAACAUCUAAGUACCCGGAGGAAGAGAAAGAAAAAUCGAUUUCCUGAGUAGCGGCGAGCGAAAGGGAAGGAGCCUAAACCGUGGAUUUAUCCACGGGGUUAUGGACCGCAAUAAGUGACUUGAAAGGUAGAAGAAUGGUUUUGGGAAAGCCAGCCAGAGAGAGUGAAAGCCUCGUAUUCGAAACCGGAAGAGAGCGAGCGGUAUCCAAAGUACAACGAGACACGAGAAACCUUGUUGGAAUUCGGGGGGACCACCCCCCAAGGCUAAAUACUACUUAGUGACCGAUAGUGCAUAGUACUGUGAAGGAAAGGUGAAAAGAACCCCGGGAGGGGAGUGAAAGAGAACCUGAAACCAUAUGUUUACAAGCUGUGGAACCACUUUAUAUGUGGAACCGCGUACUUUUUGUAGAACGGUCCGGCGAGUUACAUUUACUGGCAAGGUUAAGGACAGAAAGUCUGGAGCCGAAGGGAAACCAAGUCUGAAUAGGGCGUAAAUCCAUCUUUGAUGGAUCAGUCAGUACGUGUAUACCCGAAACCGGGUGAUCUAUCCAUGGUCAGGUUGAAGCUGCCGUAAAAGGUGGUGGAGGACCGAACACACAUCCGUUGAAAAGGGUGGUGAUGAACUGUGGAUAGGGGAGAAAUUCCAAUCGAACCCGGAGAUAGCUGGUUCUCCUCGAAAUAGCUUUAGGGCUAGCCUCGAUUUAGUCUAACGGAGGUAGAGCACUGAAUACCCUAGGGGGCGUCAAAGCUUACCGAAGGUUAUCAAACUCCGAAUGCCGUAUAGAUGAUGAUCGGGAGUCAGACUACACGAGAUAAGUUGGGUAGUCAAAAGGGAAAGAGCCCAGACCACCAGCUAAGGUCCCAAAGUGUGUGUUAAGUGGAAAAGGAUGUGGGAUUUCAGAGACAACUAGGAUGUUGGCUUAGAAGCAGCCAUACAUUCAAAGAGUGCGUAAUAGCUCACUAGUCGAGAGAUCCUGCGCCGAAAAUGUCCGGGGCUAAAACACACCACCGAAGCUGUGGAAUCAUACAAUGUAUGAUUGGUAGAGGAGCAUUCUUAACUGCGAAGAAGCUGUACCGUAAGGAGCAGUGGAGUGUUAAGAAGAGAGAAUGCCGGAAUGAGUAGCGAGAUAGAAGUGAGAAUCUUCUAGGCUGAAUAUCCAAGGUUUCCAGAGUAAAGCUGAUCUGCUCUGGGUAAGUCGGGGCCUAAGGCGAGGACGAGAGUCGUAGUCGAUGGACAACAGGUUGAUAUUCCUGUACCAUAUAGUAACAGAACUGUGGGGACACAGAAAGGUAGGAAAAGCCGGGAAUGGAAAAACCGGCGCAAGCACAAAGUCAAGCGAAAUAGGCAAAUCCGUUUCGUGAUGGUGAAGUGUGAUGCGGAGUGAACUUUAAGUAACGAAGUUUCUGAACCUAUGCUGUCGAGAAAAGCCGCUAUUGUUUGCUAUAUGCCCGUACCGUAAACCGACACAGGUGGAUGAGGAGAGAAUCCUAAGGCCGACGGGAGAAGCAUUGUUAAGGAACUCGGCAAAAUGACCCCGUAACUUCGGGAGAAGGGGUGCCUGGGCAACCAGGCCGCAGAGAAUUGGCCCAAGCAACUGUUUAGCAAAAACACAGGUCUAUGCAAAACCGAAAGGUGAGGUAUAUGGGCUGACGCCUGCCCGGUGCUGGAAGGUUAAGGGGAGAGGUUAGACGCAAGUCGAAGCUUUGAACUUAAGCCCCAGUAAACGGCGGCCGUAACUAUAACGGUCCUAAGGUAGCGAAAUUCCUUGUCGGGUAAGUUCCGACCCGCACGAAAGGCGUAAUGAUUUGGGCACUGUCUCGACAAUGCACCCGGUGAAAUUGAAAUACCAGUGAAGAUGCUGGUUACCUGCGCCAGGACGGAAAGACCCCAUGGAGCUUUACUUCAGCUUGAUACUGGGAUUCGGUGCUGCAUGUACAGGAUAGGUGGGAGACUAAGAAGUAGGAACGCCAGUUCUUACAGAGUCGCUGUUGGGAUACCACCCUUGUAGUACUGGAUUUCUAACCUGUAGCCGUGACCCGGCUAGGGGACAAUGUCAGGCGGGGAGUUUGACUGGGGCGGUCGCCUCCGAAAGGGUAUCGGAGGCGCUCAAAGGUUCUCUCAGAAUGGUUGGAAACCAUUCGUAGAGUGCAAAGGCAUAAGAGAGCUUGACUGUGACACCGACGGGUGGAGCAGGUACGAAAGUAGGACUUAGUGAUCCGGUGGUAUAAAGUGGGAUUGCCAUCGCUCAACGGAUAAAAGCUACCCUGGGGAUAACAGGCUUAUCACUCCCAAGAGUUCACAUCGACGGAGUGGUUUGGCACCUCGAUGUCGGCUCAUCGCAUCCUGGGGCUGUAGUAGGUCCCAAGGGUUGGGCUGUUCGCCCAUUAAAGCGGUACGCGAGCUGGGUUCAGAACGUCGUGAGACAGUUCGGUCCCUAUCCGGCGUAGGCGUAGGAUAUUUGAGAGGAGCUGUCCUUAGUACGAGAGGACCGGGAUGGACUGACCUCUGGUGUAUCGGUUGUUCUACCAAGAGCAUGGCCGAGUAGCCAAGUCGGGACGGGAUAAACGCUGAAGGCAUCUAAGCGUGAAGCCCCCCUCAAGAUAAGAUAUCCCAUAGCACAAGCUAGUAAGACCCCUUAAAGACGAUAAGGUUGAUAGGACAAAGGUGGAAGUGUGGUAACACAUGUAGCUGAUUGUUACUAAUAGGUCGAGGGCUUAACCUA
Molecule: ribosomal RNA, 2916 nt
Rfam family: Bacterial large subunit ribosomal RNA
Source: Rfam